RNAcentral lists this ribosomal RNA (903 nucleotides) under human gut metagenome. RNAcentral describes it as "bacterial SSU rRNA". It matches the Rfam family "Bacterial small subunit ribosomal RNA", at positions 8 to 900 of the family's 1533-position model. The record is from RNAcentral.
AGAGUUUGAUCCUGGCUCAGGAUGAACGCUAGCUACAGGCUUAACACAUGCAAGUCGAGGGGCAGCAUGAACUUAGCUUGCUAAGUUUGAUGGCGACCGGCGCACGGGUGAGUAACGCGUAUCCAACCUGCCCUUUACUCCGGGAUAGUCUCCUGAAAGGGAGUUUAAUACCGGAUGUGUUUGUCUUUCCGCAUGGGAGCGACAAAUAAAGAUUGAUUGGUAAAGGAUGGGGAUGCGUCCCAUUAGCUUGUUGGCGGGGUAACGGCCCACCAAGGCGACGAUGGGUAGGGGUUCUGAGAGGAAGGUCCCCCACAUUGGAACUGAGACACGGUCCAAACUCCUACGGGAGGCAGCAGUGAGGAAUAUUGGUCAAUGGGCGGGAGCCUGAACCAGCCAAGUAGCGUGAAGGAUGACGGCCCUACGGGUUGUAAACUUCUUUUAUAAGGGAAUAAAGUUCGCCACGCGUGGUGUUUUGUAUGUACCUUAUGAAUAAGCAUCGGCUAAUUCCGUGCCAGCAGCCGCGGUAAUACGGAAGAUGCGAGCGUUAUCCGGAUUUAUUGGGUUUAAAGGGAGCGUAGGCGGGCUUUUAAGUCAGCGGUCAAAGUUUGCCACGGCUCAACCGUGGCCAGCCGUUGAAACUGCAAGCCUUGAGUCUGCACAGGGCACAUGGAAUUCGUGGUGUAGCGGUGAAAUGCUUAGAUAUCACGAAGAACUCCGAUCGCGAAGGCAUUGUGCCGGGGCAGCACUGACGCUGAGGCUCGAAAGUGCGGGUAUCAAACAGGAUUAGAUACCCUGGUAGUCCGCACGGUAAACGAUGAAUGCUCGCUAUGGGCGAUAUAUUGUCCGUGGCCAAGCGAAAGCGUUAAGCAUUCCACCUGGGGAGUACGCCGGCAACGGUGAAAC